UACGUAGGGUGCAAGCGUUGUCCGGAAUUAUUGGGCGUAAAGAGCUCGUAGGCGGUUUGUCGCGUCGAAUGUGAAAACCCGGGGCUCAACCCCGGGCCUGCAUUCGAUACGGGCAGACUAGAGUUCGGUAGGGGAGUCUGGAAUUCCUGGUGUAGCGGUGAAAUGCGUAGAGAUCGUAAGGAAGACCAGUGGCGAAGGCGAGUUUCUGGACAGUUACUGACGCUGAGGCACGAAGGCCAGGGGAGCAAACGGG
This 253-nucleotide ribosomal RNA is filed under the name uncultured bacterium. RNAcentral describes it as "partial 16S ribosomal RNA". It matches the Rfam family "Bacterial small subunit ribosomal RNA", at positions 524 to 776 of the family's 1533-position model. The record is from RNAcentral.